CAGUAGCCACGGGAAUACGAAGGGUGCAAGCGUUACUCGGAAUUACUGGGCGUAAAGCGUGCGUAGGUGGUUGUUUAAGUCUGCUGUGAAAGCCCUGGGCUCAACCUGGGAAUUGCAGUGGAUACUGGGCAACUAGAGUAAGGUAGAGGAUAGUGGAAUUUCCGGUGUAGCAGUGAAAUGCGUAGAGAUCGGAAGGAACAUCUGUGGCGAAGGCGACUAUCUGGGCCAUUACUGACACUGAGGCACGAAAGCGUGGGGAGCAAACAGGAUUAGAUACCCGCGUAGUCCCUGUCUCUUAUAA
Molecule: ribosomal RNA, 301 nt
Filed under: uncultured bacterium
Lineage: Bacteria
Description: partial 16S ribosomal RNA
Rfam family: Bacterial small subunit ribosomal RNA
Source: RNAcentral